AGCCGAUGAAGGACGCGGCAAGCGGCGAAACGCCCCGGGGAGCCGCAAGCGGGCGUUGAUCCGGGGAUCUCCGAAUGGGGAAACCCGCUUGGGGUAAUACCCAAGCAUCCGCUGAUGAAUCCAUAGUCAGCGGAGGGGAACCGGGCGAACUGAAACAUCUUAGUAGCCCGAGGAAAAGAAAGCAAAAGCGAUUCCCCGAGUAGUGGCGAGCGAAAGGGGAGAAGCCCAAACCUACCGCUUAGGCGGUAGGGGUUCGGGCCCACCGCAAAAGUGUGCGAGUACUCUAGGCGAACGGACCUGGAAAGGCCGGCCAUAGAGGGUGAAAGCCCCGUAGCCGAAAGGGGAAAGCGCACUGGUGGGUACCAGAGUACCACGGGAUAGGCGACCCUGUGGGAAGGCGGGAGGACCACCUCCUAAGGCUAAAUACUCCAGGUGACCGAUAGCGCAUAGUACCGUGAGGGAAAGGUGAAAAGAACCCCGGGAGGGGAGUGAAAGAGAACCUGAAACCAUGUGCCCACAAGCAGUCAGAGCCUGGGUAAUACCAGGUGAUGGCGUACUUUUUGCAGUACGGGCCGGCGAGUUAUGGUAGCGAGCGAGGUUAAGGGUAGAGAUACCCGGAGCCGAAGCGAAAGCGAGUCCGAAGAGGGCGGGAAGUUCGCUGCCAUAGACCCGAAACCGUGCGACCUACCCAUGGCCAGGGUGAAGCCGGAGUAAGAUCUGGUGGAGGCCCGAACCCGUUGGCCGUGAAAAGCCAUGGGAUGAGCUGUGGGUAGAGGUGAAAUGCCAAUCGAGCACGGAGAUAGCUGGUUCUCCCCGAAAUAGCUUUAGGGCUAGCCUCAGGGUAAAGCCUGUGGAGGUAGAGCCACUGACUGGGCUAGGGGCCGAGAGGCUACCGAACCCUAUCAAACUCCGAAUGCCACAGGCAAGUACCUGGGAGUCAGACCACGAGUGAUAAGAUCCGUGGUCGAGAGGGGAACAGCCCAGACCUCCAGCUAAGGUCCCGAAGGGCAUGUUAAGUGGGAAAGGAAGUGGGACUUCGAAGACAACCGGGAUGUUGGCUUAGAAGCAGCCAUACAUUUAAAGAGUGCGUA
Molecule: ribosomal RNA, 1091 nt
Filed under: Caldanaerobacter subterraneus subsp. yonseiensis KB-1
Lineage: Bacteria; Bacillati; Bacillota; Clostridia; Thermoanaerobacterales; Thermoanaerobacteraceae
Description: bacterial LSU rRNA
Rfam family: Bacterial large subunit ribosomal RNA
Source: RNAcentral